GACGAACCGUGCGAACGUUGUUCGGAAUCACUGGGCUUAAAGGGCGCGUAGGCGGCUCGCCAAGUCCGGGGUGAAAGCCUCCAGCUCAACUGGAGAAGUGCCUUGGAUACUGGCGGGCUCGAGCGAGGUAGGGGCGGGUGGAACUUCCGGUGGAGCGGUGAAAUGCGUUGAUAUCGGAAGGAACGCCGGUGGCGAAAGCGACCCGCUGGACCUCUUCUGACGCUGAGGCGCGAAAGCUAGGGUAGCGAACGGG
RNAcentral lists this ribosomal RNA (253 nucleotides) under uncultured bacterium. RNAcentral's name for it is "partial 16S ribosomal RNA". It matches the Rfam family "Bacterial small subunit ribosomal RNA", at positions 524 to 776 of the family's 1533-position model. The record is from RNAcentral.